AUCGAUGAAGAACGCAGCGAAAUGCGAUAAGUAAUGUGAAUUGCAGAAUUCAGUGAAUCAUCGAAUCUUUGAACGCACCUUGCGCCCUCUGGUAUUCCGGAGGGCAUGCCUGUUUGAGUGUCAUUAAAUUCUCAACUUCAAUAGCUUUUACUAGCUUAUUGAUGCUUGGAUGUGGGAGCUUGCUGGCGUCUUAGAUGUUCGGCUCUCCUUAAAGUUAUUAGUGGAAACCUUUUUGUUGGGUUAUUCCUGGUGUGAUAAUUAUCUACGCUUUGAAUAAUCUAAUGUUCCAUUGGGACUUGAGAUUUCUCAGUAGAAAUACUGGUCUGGGUAUUGCAAUUAAUUUUGCUGUAUCUGUAAUCUCUCAGUAGCAAUACUGGUUUUGGCAUUGCAAUUAAGUUUGCUUUACCUGUAGUCUCAGAGGAAAAAGGGAAGUUCUGCUUUCUAACCGUCUAUGUAUAUGGACAAUUUAUUGACUAUUUGACCUCAAAUCAGGUAGGACUACCCGCUGAACUUAAGCAUAUCAAUAAGCGGAGGAAAAGAAACUAACAAGGAUUCCCCUAGUAACUGCGAGUGAAGAGGGAAAAGCUCAAAUUUAAAAUCUGGCAGUCUUUGAUUGUCCGAGUUGUAAUUUAGAGAAGUGUUACCCGUGUUGGACCGUGUACAAGUUUCCUGGAAUGGAACGUCAUAGAGGGUGAGAAUCCCGUCUUUGACACGGAUCCCAAUGCAUUGUGGUAUACUUUCGAAGAGUCGAGUUGUUUGGGAAUGCAGCUCUAAAUGGGUGGUAAAUUCCAUCUAAAGCUAAAUAUUGGGGAGAGACCGAUAGCGAACAAGUACCGUGAGGGAAAGAUGAAAAGAACUUUGGAAAGAGAGUUAAACAGUACGUGAAAUUGCUAAAAGGGAAACGCUUGAAGUCAGUCGCGUUGUCCAGGGAUCAGCCUUCCUUCUGGUUGGUGUACUUCCUGGUUGACGGGUCAGCAUCAGUUUUGACCGGUGGAUAAGAGUGAGAGGAAUGUGGCAUCUUCGGGUGUGUUAUAGCCUUUUAUUGUAUACAUCGGUUGGGACUGAGGAACUCAGCACGCCGCAAGGCCGGGUUUUUAACCACGUUCGUGCUUAGGAUGCUGGCAUAAUGGCUUUAAUCGACCCGUCUUGAAACACGG
RNAcentral lists this ribosomal RNA (1157 nucleotides) under uncultured fungus. RNAcentral describes it as "eukaryotic LSU rRNA". The stretch from base 479 to 1157 matches the Rfam family "Eukaryotic large subunit ribosomal RNA", at positions 1 to 664 of the family's 3401-position model. Lineage: Eukaryota; Fungi. The record is from RNAcentral.